Molecule: non-coding RNA, 326 nt
Organism: Callipepla squamata (scaled quail)
Lineage: Eukaryota; Metazoa; Chordata; Aves; Galliformes; Odontophoridae
Rfam family: 7SK RNA
About the family: 7SK was discovered as an abundant small nuclear RNA in the mid-70s but a possible function has only recently been suggested. Two independent studies have found that 7SK RNA binds the CDK9/cyclin T complex (known as elongation factor P-TEFb).
Source: Rfam
GGAUGUGAGGGUGAUCUGGCUAUGAUAUUUGUCACCCCAUUGAUUGCCAGGGGUGAUUCACCUGAUCUGGGUGGCUAGGCAGGUGUCAUCUUCCUCCCUCACUGCUCCACGUGCAUCCCUCUCAAAGUUGCACACUUGGUUGAAGAGGACGACCUUCCCUGACAGAGCUGUAGCAUUCAUCCAUCAAGGGCAUACAGUAGCUGCACUCCCCUGGUGGAACCUCCAAACAAGCUCACAGUCCAUUUGAAGAAGAACGUAGGGUAGUCAAGCUCCCAAGACUGCAGACACAUCCAAGCGAGGCACUGCAUGGGGCAGUGCCUGAAGGG